ACGAAGUCGCAAGACUUAGUGGCGGAAGGGUUAGUAAUACAUGGGUAACUUACCUCUAACUUGGGAAUAACGAUUGGAAACGAUCGCUAAUACCGAAUGCGAUGUAUUUAGGGCAUCUUAGAUACAUUAAAGUAGAGGAUCGCAAGACUUUGCGGUUAGAGAGAGGCCCAUGGGAUAUCAGCUAGUUGGUGAGGUAAAGGCUCACCAAGG
This 210-nucleotide ribosomal RNA is filed under the name uncultured Chlamydiales CRG53. RNAcentral describes it as "partial 16S ribosomal RNA". It matches the Rfam family "Bacterial small subunit ribosomal RNA", at positions 66 to 273 of the family's 1533-position model. The record is from RNAcentral. Lineage: Bacteria; Pseudomonadati; Chlamydiota; Chlamydiia; Chlamydiales.